UCAUAUGUUUGUCUCAAAGAUUAAACCAUGCAUGUCUCAGUAUAAGUCUUCUCAGGGGGAAAAUGCGAAUGGCUCAUUAAAACAGAUAUAGUCUAUCUGACUGUCGACACUUAUAUGGAAAAUGCGGAAUUUGGAGAUAAUACAUGCGUAAAAACCCCACUUCUCGGAAGGGUUUUUUAUUAGAUACAGAACCAAUGCCCCUCGGGGUUUUUGGAUGAUUCUUAAUAAAAAAAUGGAGCGCUUAAUUUUUGCGGGCGCUAUGUCAUUCGAGUUUCUGACCUAUCAGCUUUGGACGGUAGGGUAUUGGCCUACCCGGGCAUUAACGGGUAACGGAGAAUUAGGGUUGGAUUCCGGAGAGGGAGCCGCAGAAACGG
This 374-nucleotide ribosomal RNA is filed under the name uncultured marine eukaryote. Its description in RNAcentral is "partial 18S ribosomal RNA". It matches the Rfam family "Eukaryotic small subunit ribosomal RNA", at positions 24 to 406 of the family's 1831-position model. The record is from RNAcentral.